This 1650-nucleotide ribosomal RNA is filed under the name Triticum aestivum (bread wheat). Its description in RNAcentral is "partial small subunit ribosomal RNA". Lineage: Eukaryota; Viridiplantae; Streptophyta; Magnoliopsida; Poales; Poaceae. The record is from RNAcentral.
AUGUUCGAGUAUCUAAAUGUUGUCAGCAAGAUGUUUGAUAGUGAGGCUGAAGGCUAUGAAUUCUACAACAAAUAUGCUCUUGAAAAAGGUUUUAGUGUGAGGAAAAGCUACGUUGAGUGGGAUGGAUCCAACAAAUACAUAAUUUUAAGGAAAAUUAUGUGUAGUCGUCAAGGGUUUCGCGAAGAGAAGCACAUGAAAAGAAAGAUGGAAGAUAGAAAGAGGAGGCCACGAAGUUUAACUCGUGUUGGGUGUAAUGCUAAAUUGGUCAUUACGAGACAGGAGGAAACCGGUCUGUGGCUUGUCAAGGAUUUCAUCGAUGAGCACAUCCAUCCUCUAGCCUCACGGGAUCUUUCUUGUCUGCUGCGUUCGCAAAGACGAAUUAGCGAUGAGCAGAAAACGGACAUUGCGGACAUGAAAAAAUGUGGGAUCCGCAAAUACCGUAUUAUGGAUAUUUUGUGCUUUCAAUACGGUGGAUUUGAUAAGGUUGGAUGCAUAAAGAGGGACAUUUAUAAUUUCUGCCAUGCUAAUAAGCAGAAGACAAUCAGCGCCGGUGAUGCUAAUACGGUGAUCAUGCACAUGAUGGCGAGGCGAGAGCGAGAUGUGGAUUUUUUCUUCAAGUACUUGGUAGACGAGCAUGGCCAUCUGAAGGGACUGUUCUGGGCUGAUAGUCGAUCGCGACUUGACUACGAGGCUUUCGGAGACGUCAUUGUUUUCGAUAGCAGAUACAGAACCAACAAAUACAAUCUGCCAUUCGUGCCGUUUGUUGGGUUGAAUCACCACCGGAGCACUGUCAUUUUUGGAUGUGGUAUAAUUUCUCAUGAAACUAGCCAGGCAUACGAGUGGAUGUUGCGGACCUUUUCUGAUUGCAUGGCACAGAAGCAUCUGAUAUCUGUGAUCACAGAUGGGGACCUUGCAAUGCAGAGAGCAAUCAGGGUGGUCUGGCCAGACUCAAACCAUAGACUAUGUAUAUGACACAUUCAGCAGAACAUUGUACGCCAUCUUCAUGAUGACGACGUAAAGGAGGAAUUCAGAUCUUUCAUUUAUGAUACUUCUUCCAUUGAAGAGCAUGAGAUAGAAUGGAUAAAAUUCUUACAACGGAAUAAAUUAACCAGUGAGGAGUCUUGGCUGCAUCAGAUGUAUCAGAUGAGAAUGUUGUGGUGUGCUCCAUAUCUUGAGGGGCGUUGUUUCCUAGGAUUGAGCAGCAAUCAAAGGAGUGAGAGCUUGAACUCUAUGCUACAUACGCAUCUUGAGGGUAAGAUGUCGUUGUUUGAAAUGCUAGAGCACUAUGAGCGUUGCCUUGCAUCGCGACGGAUUAACGAAGCUCUCCAAGACGUCGAAGCCUUGCAGUCCGUUCCAGAGGAAAAUACUUCGCCGCUUGAGAAACACGCCGCAACAGUUUUCACACCUAGUGUCUUUAAGAUGGUCUUAUGGAGCAUAGAUGCUGUCAGCAAAUGUCAGAUCAGAGAGAUACUAGAUGGAUCAAAAGAUUCCACUUAUGUUGUGUCCAAGCAGGAAAGAAUGGAUAAAAAGUUUGGAGUGCGCAUUGAAGAGCAAGGAGGUCUUUUGCACAGGGUGAGUUGUUUUUGCCGUAAGCUGGAAUGUGCAGGCACACCAUGUUCCCACAUUUUUUUUACAUAUUGGGGAUUUUAA